GAUGAACGCUGACAGAAUGCUUAACACAUGCGAGUCUACUUGAACUUCGGUUUGGGUGGCGGACGGGUGAGUCACGCGUAAAGAACUUGCCUCACAGUUAGGGACAACAUUUGGAAACGAAUGCUAAUACCUGAUAUUAUGAUUUUAGGGCAUCCUAGGAUUAUGAAAGCUAUAUGUGCUGUGAGAGAGCUUUGCGUCCCAUUAGCUAGUUGGAGAGGUAACGGCUCACCAAGGCGAUGAUGGGUAGCCGGCCUGAGAGGGUGAACGGCCACAAGGGGACUGAGACACGGCCCUUACUCCUACGGGAGGCAGCAGUGGGGAAUAUUGGACAAUGGACCAAAAGUCUGAUCCAGCAAUUCUGUGUGCACGAUGACGUUUUUCGGAAUGUAAAGUGCUUUCAGUUGGGAAGAAAAAAAUGACGGUACCAACAGAAGAAGUGACGGCUAAAUACGUG
Molecule: ribosomal RNA, 454 nt
Filed under: uncultured bacterium
Lineage: Bacteria
Description: partial 16S ribosomal RNA
Rfam family: Bacterial small subunit ribosomal RNA
Source: RNAcentral